Molecule: long non-coding RNA, 702 nt
Filed under: Cervus hanglu yarkandensis (Yarkand deer)
Lineage: Eukaryota; Metazoa; Chordata; Mammalia; Artiodactyla; Cervidae
Description: lncRNA (ENSCHYG00000021524.1)
Source: RNAcentral
CUCUAGAAUAUGCUUGUUCUAAUCAAGAUGAUGUCAAACUGUAAUAGAUUUUACUUAGUUGCUUGCCAUUUUCCUCGUUUGUCUUUUAAAUACCAACUUGACCAACCUGAUCAAGUCAGUGGGCAGUGUUAAGGUUUCUAUGCAGAAGAUGGGGAACACCAAGAGGGCUGCAGAAUGAAAACCAAAGUCCUCCCUGAAAUUUGCUACUUGCUCGUAACUCACAGAAAGACAAAAAUUACAAAUAAAACAUUAAAAAUAAAAAUCAAGAGAGACUCGUGAAACCAACACAAGACAAAACCCUCACCGGGCAAAAGCUGCAACUUCAUGGAAAAUAAGUUGGAGGUGGGGGGGACGAGGGGGGUCCGGAGCUGAGCGGGGCUCUUGUGCAAUCACUCCAAGGCGAACAGCUGGAGCGCCAAGCUGCCGCGCUCGCCACCUCUGGAGCACCGCUGGCCUGGCGGGGAGCCCGGCCUCGCCAACACGACUCCGGGCCGGCCUUUCCGAACAAUGGGCAGGCGCUCUGCGAAGGCCGCCCCUCAGACAGCUAUCUUUUCAGCAGGGCUUGCCCGGGUCUGCUUAAACUGGGAAGUGAAGCAUGCAAAGGCUGAGAGGGAGGCGGAGGCAACCGAGAGGAGCAAGCAGGGACAGGCGAGGCGAGCCGGCCGUCAAAAACGGCAUAUGUCCUCCAGAAAACUGAGGUGA